Molecule: long non-coding RNA, 1012 nt
Filed under: Struthio camelus australis
Lineage: Eukaryota; Metazoa; Chordata; Aves; Struthioniformes; Struthionidae
Description: lncRNA (ENSSCUG00000011005.1)
Source: RNAcentral
CUCUUUCAGCGGUACUAGCCGCCACGCGGUGCGCGGCUGUGGCUUAAGGUGUUUUCUUUCACCUGAUGUGCGCUAAAUGGCUUGAGCGGCACUGGAGGAACGGUUCCCUUCCCUUCGCCAUCCUAGCAGAGCCUCGGGGAGCAGGGUGGCCGAGCGCAGCCUCCUCGCCGAGGCACGAGGGGACAGGCCCCGGCACAGAGGGCUCCUCCUGCCUAAACGGCCCAAGCCCUCGGCCAGAGGCAGCCGACCUCAGAGGACAGCGCAAGCACCACCCAUCUGCCGAGGGCUCUGGAGGAUAACGAGGCUGCGAACAGCACGCAAAGCAAACGCGUGUCACCAUAUAAGCGUCACAGGACUACGGGUCUGAAUCUCCUUUCCAGCCGCUGGCCUUACUCUGAAGGACUUGAAUGGAUUCAAGGUUUCACACGAGGAAGCCUUUCAGGUGAAAAGGCUACAAAAAUGGCAAAGCAGAGCCCGUGCCCGUGUGACAUGCUGUUUCUCCUUCCAGACUUCAGAGGCGAUCCCUCGGCUGGUGCGAACGCCUGUAACUCUGCUACAAUAAGAUUAUUUUACUGCAGCGUAGGAGCUUGGCUGUACGCUAAAAAGGGGAGAUGUUGUGAUGGGGAAUCUGCAAACAUCUCCACUGUCUGCCUACAAAUAUGCUGGGUAGAAGACAUAACCAGACUCUGCAGCCUUCCCCACUUCAUCUCAAGAGGCCAUGCCUAAGAGUAUCUUCAGCCAGAAGAAUUAGAAUCAGUUUAAAAGGCUUUGCUCUCAUAUCGUAUGAUUUCUGCUCUGGAAAGUCUAAUUUGCUCCUAUAGCACCUGGCUACUAAUUCUGCCAUCUCGCUUUCUGGUCAACUGAGACUCACUGUCUUUGCCUUCCAAUGCACCAAAACCUGUCAAAUUAAAGUAAGUUUCCAUGCUGGUCAUUCUGUUCAAAUACCGUUAUCCGUUGCCAUAACGUGCAUGUCUUGCCUAGGUGGCAACUUGUCUAUGGAGUGUCUAUUUGC